UCUCACGAGUAACCGCCCUAUCAACUGGAUGGUAGGUUAAACGCCUACCAUGGUUGUAACGGGUAACGGGGAAUCAGGGUUCGAUUCCGGAGAGGGAGCCUGAGAAACGGCUACCACAUCCAAGGAAGGCAGCAGGCGCGCAAAUUACCCACUCUCAGAACGAGGAGGUAGUGACGAAAAAUACUUGUGCGGUACUCAUAUUGAGUAUACGUAACAGGAAUGAGUAAGAUCUAAAUCCUCCAACGAGGAUCUAUUGGAGGGCAAGUCUGGUGCCAGCAGCCGCGGUAAUUCCAGCUCCAAUAGCGUAUAUUAAAUUUGUUGCGGUUAAAAAGCUCGUAGUUGGAUCUCGCUCUGUGUGAGUGUUUUCAAGUGAUGUGAACACGGAAUACAUAGGUGUCUUCGCAGUCAGAGUUGCAUCUUCUGGCUUUCAGCUGUGUCUCUUCGCGGUCUUGCUGUAACAGGCAAGUCGUGUUGUCUCAUCAGUUGAUAAGUUCAGUUGCUCUGCACUUUGGUUCGAGUUCAUUUUGUGUAAUCCGGUUUGUCUCACAUUGAUAUACUUGAUUACACAUACAACACACAGUGGCAAAUGAGUUGAUGUGAAGCGCCUCUUAACCGAGGACUUUUGCAUUUUGCAACUCAUAAUGAUUACUUUGAACAAAAUAGAGUGCUCAAAGCGGGCAAUGCCUCUAUACAAGGCUUGCUUGAAUAUUACCCCAUGGAAUAUCAGAACAGGACUACUGUCCCGCUUUCUGUUGGUCUCCGGGAUAGAAGUAAUGAUUAAGAGGGACAGACGGGGGCAUCAGUAUAGUGACGCUAGAGGUGAAAUUCUUGGACCGUCGCUAGACUAACAACAGCGAAAGCAUUUGCCAAGAAUGUUUUCAUUAAUCAAGAACGAAAGUUAGAGGUUCGAAGGCGAUUAGAUACCGCCCUAGUUCUAACCAUAAACGAUGCCAACCAGCGAUCAGCUCGUGCCCAAUUCAAGGGGAGCUGGGAACUUUUCCGGGAAACCACUAAGAUGGGUUCCGGGGGAAGUAUGGUUGCAAAACUGAAACUUAAAGGAAUUGACGGAAGGGCACCACCAGGAGUGGAGCCUGCGGCUUAAUUUGACUCAACACGGGGAAACUCACCCGGCCCGGACACUAGAAGGAUUGACAGAUUGAUAGCUCUUUCUUGAUAUAGUGGGUGGUGGUGCAUGGCCGUUCUUAGUUGGUGGAUCGAUCUGUCUGGUUAAUUCCGAUAACGAACGAGACUCUGACUUGAAUUAGACUGUUUAUUGUGUUACUUGUCUUCUAGUUGUUGUUACUGGGGAUUUCGGUCUUCAAGUGCAGCAGCACGGCAAACUAACACAAUACAGAUUUGCUUCUUAGAGGGACACGCGACGUCAGUCGCACGAAAAAGAGCAAUAACAGGUCUGUGAUGCCCUUAGAUGUCCGGGGCCGCACGCGCGCUACAAUGAUGUAAGCAGCGUGUUCUAAGCAGUUAACCCUGUUACUCUGCUCCGAGAGGAGUGGGUAACCACUGUGAAUUCACUCAUCGUACUUGGGAUAGUGCAUUGCAACUAUGCUCUUGAACGAGGAAUUCCCAGUAAGCGUGAGUCAUCAGCUAGCGUUGAUUACGUCCCUGCCCUUUGUACACACCGCCCGUCGCUACUACCGAUAGAUAGAUUAGGCGAGGUGAUUGGAUCUUCAGGACUGCUACACUUUACGGUGAAGUAGUCCUCAUGUUGAGAAGGUCACCAAGCUUGAUCAUUUAGAGGAAGUAAAAGUCGUAACAAGGUUUCC
This 1781-nucleotide ribosomal RNA is filed under the name Hydrodroma torrenticola. RNAcentral's name for it is "SSU rRNA". It matches the Rfam family "Eukaryotic small subunit ribosomal RNA", at positions 295 to 1804 of the family's 1831-position model. The record is from RNAcentral. Lineage: Eukaryota; Metazoa; Arthropoda; Arachnida; Trombidiformes; Hydrodromidae.